RNAcentral lists this long non-coding RNA (1617 nucleotides) under Zostera marina. RNAcentral describes it as "long non-coding RNA (ZMAR_LNC003922)". The record is from RNAcentral. Lineage: Eukaryota; Viridiplantae; Streptophyta; Magnoliopsida; Alismatales; Zosteraceae.
GUAAAUAUCCUUUUAUGAGUGACAAAUGUCCUCACGAUCUCACUACCGACCGCUUUCUUCCACACCGGCCCCACGAUCUCACUACCGGCGAUUUCUCUCUACAUCGGUCUCUCUGGCUCGUUAUCUCCCGACCCUCUCCGCGCUAGCUCGCUAGCUCGCUCGCUCACUCCCACAAAUCUCACGGUCACUUGCAUGACUUAAAUUUUUAGUUUUUUGUUGAUGUAAAUUUCCGGCCCCUAUUUUAAUGUUGUUCUUUUAUAACCCAGAGUGAAACUUGGUGAGCUGACACGUAGCUGUCCAUGUGUCAAGUUCAAGAAUCCAGGAAUUUUUCUCUGUGAGGUUAAUUUUAAAUUAUUUAACCAAAUUUAUUUUUUUUCAAUCCAAUUGUUCUCGACAAGGUGUCAUAUUUUAGUUCUGAUACAUAAUAUCAUCAUUACUAACACUAGAAAAUAAAUUUUUUUUAACAUAUGUUAUUAAAAUAUCAUAAAUAGAAAAACGAUGUCUUUUGAAAUGAUAUAUUCAAUCCAUGAUUCAUAUUUGUCAAACCACAAUACACAAAAUCUUCUAGACUGAUUUUUAAUCUUCUUCAAUAGAAAUUCAUGUUGACGUGGUUGACAAAGUUUCUUUUGCAAAUAAUAUCUUCUUAUUUGAUUUCGGUCAUUUGGAUGGUAGACAUUUAUCUUUUUUCGCAAUAUCGGAUCGAAAGGUAAUUUACUUACAUCGAGUGUCUCUUUAGAUGGUUGUGGAUUGGAUGAUGGAGUUGAAAUUGGUUAAUUUAUUCUAGGUCUUUUGAUUAUAAAUUUAUCCAUUGAUUAUCUAUGUAAAAAAAAGAUAUAAAUUAAUAACAAAUUUAACAAUAAUUAACGUGGAUAAAAAAUACAUUUAUUCUUUUUCUUUGUAUAGAGUUAUGGUCCCGAACUCACGUGAAGUGGAGAAAAAGAAACCGGGCAUGCAGUUGCGGUUUUGCUUUCUCCAACUAUCGAGAUGUAAUUGGGUGGUCCAUGUAUAAAAUGCGACCCAAUUACGUCGUAACAGUUUUCACUUAUAUUAUUUUCACAAUUAAUUGAAUAAAUUUUUAUCUACACUAAUAUUUCGGCGGUCUCUGUAGAUGUACUUCCUGAAGAAGAAGAAGAAAUUGUUGUUCCUGAAGAAGAAGUGGUUGUUCCUGAAAUAGAAGAAAAGGUUGUUCCUGAAGAAGAUGAAGUUGUUCUUGCAGAAGAAUAAGUUGUUGUUCAUGAACCAAAUGAUGUUGUUGUUCCAAAAAGAGAUAUUGUUUUUGAAAGAGAUGUAGUUGUUCCUGAAGUACAAAUUGUUGUUUCUAAAGUACAAGAGGUUGUUGUUCCUGAAGUACAAAAAGUUGUUCUUGAAUUACAAGAGGUUGUUGUUCUUGAAGUAAAAGAAGUUGUUCACUUGUUCCUGAGGUUGCAAAUGUUGUUUCUGAAAAGAAAGUUGCAAAUAAAGAUGUAAAUUAGUUUGAAGAAAAUGAAUUAAUUUUGCAUCUGCUGUGGAGAAUGAGAGGUUGGAUUCAUUUGAUCCAUUUACUAUUCAAUGCAACCAACUAGGUAUGAUUCCUGAAGAUUUUGUUCAUAUUAAAUGUUUUGUUCAUAUAAUUUUUUU